UCCCUUGUAGCUCAGUCAGUAAAGAAACUGCUUGCAAUGCAGGAGACCUGGGUUUGAUUCCUGGGUAGGGAA
Molecule: transfer RNA, 72 nt
Filed under: Capra hircus (goat)
Lineage: Eukaryota; Metazoa; Chordata; Mammalia; Artiodactyla; Bovidae
Also listed under: 1 other name
Rfam family: tRNA
About the family: Transfer RNA (tRNA) molecules are approximately 80 nucleotides in length. Their secondary structure includes four short double-helical elements and three loops (D, anti-codon, and T loops). Further hydrogen bonds mediate the characteristic L-shaped molecular structure. tRNAs have two regions of fundamental functional importance: the anti-codon, which is responsible for specific mRNA codon recognition, and the 3' end, to which the tRNAs corresponding amino acid is attached (by aminoacyl-tRNA synthetases). tRNAs cope with the degeneracy of the genetic code in two manners: having more than one tRNA (with a specific anti-codon) for a particular amino acid; and 'wobble' base-pairing, i.e. permitting non-standard base-pairing at the 3rd anti-codon position.
Source: Rfam by way of RNAcentral